UAAUACGGAGGGUGCAAGCGUUAUCCGGAUUCACUGGGUUUAAAGGGUGCGUAGGUGGGCUAGUAAGUCCGUGGUGAAAUCCCCGAGCUUAACUUGGGAACUGCCAUUGAUACUAUUAGUCUUGAAUAUCGUGGAGGUAAGCGGAAUAUGUCAUGUAGCGGUGAAAUGCUUAGAUAUGACAUAGAACACCAAUUGCGAAGGCAGCUUGCUACACGGUCAUUGACACUGAGGCACGAAAGCGUGGGGAGCAAACAGG
This 256-nucleotide ribosomal RNA is filed under the name uncultured bacterium. RNAcentral's name for it is "partial 16S ribosomal RNA". It matches the Rfam family "Bacterial small subunit ribosomal RNA", at positions 521 to 776 of the family's 1533-position model. The record is from RNAcentral.